This 1534-nucleotide ribosomal RNA is filed under the name Escherichia coli. Its description in RNAcentral is "bacterial SSU rRNA". It matches the Rfam family "Bacterial small subunit ribosomal RNA". Lineage: Bacteria; Pseudomonadati; Pseudomonadota; Gammaproteobacteria; Enterobacterales; Enterobacteriaceae. The record is from RNAcentral.
AAAUUGAAGAGUUUGAUCAUGGCUCAGAUUGAACGCUGGCGGCAGGCCUAACACAUGCAAGUCGAACGGUAACAGGAAACAGCUUGCUGUUUCGCUGACGAGUGGCGGACGGGUGAGUAAUGUCUGGGAAACUGCCUGAUGGAGGGGGAUAACUACUGGAAACGGUAGCUAAUACCGCAUAACGUCGCAAGACCAAAGAGGGGGACCUUCGGGCCUCUUGCCAUCGGAUGUGCCCAGAUGGGAUUAGCUAGUAGGUGGGGUAACGGCUCACCUAGGCGACGAUCCUAGCUGGUCUGAGAGGAUGACCAGCCACACUGGAACUGAGACACGGUCCAGACUCCUACGGGAGGCAGCAGUGGGGAAUAUUGCACAAUGGGCGCAAGCCUGAUGCAGCCAUGCCGCGUGUAUGAAGAAGGCCUUCGGGUUGUAAAGUACUUUCAGCGGGGAGGAAGGGAGUAAAGUUAAUACCUUUGCUCAUUGACGUUACCCGCAGAAGAAGCACCGGCUAACUCCGUGCCAGCAGCCGCGGUAAUACGGAGGGUGCAAGCGUUAAUCGGAAUUACUGGGCGUAAAGCGCACGCAGGCGGUUUGUUAAGUCAGAUGUGAAAUCCCGGGCUCAACACUGGGAACUGCAUCUGAUACUGGCAAGCUUGAGUCUCGUAGAGGGGUAGAAUUCCAGGUGUAGCGGUGAAAUGCGUAGAGAUCUGGAGGAAUACCGGUGGCGAAGGCGGCCCCUGGACGAAGACUGACGCUCAGGUGCGAAAGCGUGGGGAGCAAACAGGAUUAGAUACCUGGUAGUCCACGCCGUAAACGAUGUCGACUUGGAGGUUGUGCCCUUGAGGCGUGGCUUCCGGAGCUAACGCGUUAAGUCGACCGCCUGGGAGUACGGCCGCAAGGUUAAAACUCAAAUGAAUUGACGGGGGCCCGCACGAAGCGGUGGAGCAUGUGGUUUAAUUCGAUGCAACGCGAAGAACCUUACCUGGUCUUGACAUCCACGGAAGUUUUCAGAGAUGAGAAUGUGCCUUCGGGAACCGUGAGACAGGUGCUGCAUGGCUGUCGUCAGCUCGUGUUGUGAAAUGUUGGGUUAAGUCCCGCAACGAGCGCAACCCUUAUCCUUUGUUGCCAGCGGUCCGGCCGGGAACUCAAAGGAGACUGCCAGUGAUAAACUGGAGGAAGGUGGGGAUGACGUCAAGUCAUCAUGGCCCUUACGACCAGGGCUACACACGUGCUACAAUGGCGCAUACAAAGAGAAGCGACCUCGCGAGAGCAAGCGGACCUCAUAAAGUGCGUCGUAGUCCGGAUUGAGUCUGCAACUCGACUCCAUGAAGUCGGAAUCGCUAGUAAUCGUGGAUCAGAAUGCCACGGUGAAUACGUUCCGGGCCUUGUACACACCGCCCGUCACACCAUGGGAGUGGGUUGCAAAAGAAGUAGGUAGCUUAACCUUCGGGAGGGCGCUUACCACUUUGUGAUUCAUGACUGGGGUGAAGUCGUAACAAGGUAACCGUAGGGAACCUGCGGUUGGAUCACCUCCUUA